Molecule: ribosomal RNA, 469 nt
Filed under: uncultured bacterium
Lineage: Bacteria
Description: partial 16S ribosomal RNA
Rfam family: Bacterial small subunit ribosomal RNA
Source: RNAcentral
UAGGGAAUCUUCCACAAUGGACGCAAGUCUGAUGGAGCAACGCCGCGUGAGUGAAGAAGGUUUUCGGACCGUAAAGCUCUGUUGUUGGUGAAGAAGGAUAGAGGUAGUAACUGGCCUUUAUUUGACGGUAAUCAACCAGAAAGUCACGGCUAACUACGUGCCAGCAGCCGCGGUAAUCGUAGGUGGCAAGCGUUGUCCGGAUUUAUUGGGCGUAAAGCGAGCGCAGGCGGAAGAAUAAGUCUGAUGUGAAAGCCCUCGGCUUAACCGAGGAAUUGCAUCGGAAACUGUUUUUCUUGAGUGCAGAAGAGGAGAGUAGAACUCCAUGUGUAGCGGUGGAAUGCGUAGAUAUAUGGAAGAAUACCAGUGGCGAAGGCGGCUCUCUGGUCUGCAACUGACGCUGAGGCUCGAAAGCAUGGGUAGCGAACAGGAUUAGAUACCCUGGUAGUCCAUGCCGUAAACGAUGAGUGCU